UUUUUUUUUUUUUUUUUCAGUGAAAAUGAAGGUCUCUCAACCACAGACUGUUGUGCUAUCAAAGACAAAGAAGACUUUUUUUUUCACUGUCACUUUUAGAAUUGGAAUCUGGCAAGUGAGGCAGGCAGUUCAUAUUCACAAAGUAGCACAGCAUGCAAGGCUGCCUCUGUAGGAAUGCAGCCAUCCAUAGCCUGCCGUAGCAUCAUAUGACAUCAGCUGGCCCAAGACCAACAUACCAGGGGGUUCCAGGUCACAUGUCCCGAGACACUAUAAGCCAAGUGAACCUCACCAAGUCUAUUGCCCUAUCUCUAUGACCUAGGAGCCCUCAGAAAGAAAAGAUCUGGGAAAACUGUGUCAGUGUAUAAUUUCAAAUCCUUCAGCUAUUUUUCUAGCAAAUUUUCUUGCCAGGCUGAAUAGGGUGGAGGGUUGUAAUACAAACUGCUUUACUCAAGUAAAUAGUCACCCACUAAAAUCCUUGAUCCUAAUGCAUGUGAACCCACCCCAUUCCCAACUUUCUGACUAAUGCCACUGUCUUGCUUUACUUUCACAUCGACUGGCCAUUCCCAGGAUAUUUGUCAGGGAUUAUAGGUAAGGUAUGUUGGCACAAAAUGAAGAACCAUAAAGAUGCCAAUGAAAAGAGAACCCAGACGGCAAUAAAUUGUAGGUGCUUAUUAACCAAUUCACUUGGUAGGCCUUUUGACAAAAUUUCAUAUUUUUAUGAUAAUUUCCACCAUUUCAUUUUCUUUAAUUCCUAUUUCAUUGUCUGAUCGCUUGAUUUAACACAGGAUGAUUCCAAAAAACAUGAAUUCUUGAUUAACUUUUUUAAGAGGUGGGGAAAAAAAAUGAAAUGGCAUUUGUUUGUACCAUACCUUCUGAAGCUUUAUUGGGCUGCUCACUGAGCGGAAAUAAAACAUUUCUGACUUUGGCCAGCCAUUCCACUGCAGUGAUAAUUAAGCAAAAUCUUACAAAAAAAAAAAAAAAAUCCCUUUGCUGCAUUUUGAAUCCUUUUCCCUGUGUUAGUUGCUCCCUUUCCAAGACAGCAGGACAGACCAUACCAAUUUAGGAGAAUUUGCAAUAUCCCAGAUGGCAGAACUUUAUUGUUAAAGUGAGCAAUUUUAGCUAUUCCCAACACAAAGGCACACUUACCAUAUCUUUCCUAUUCUAAUUUUCUAGCCUACAUUACGAAGAGAAAGAAAAGAACACUUUCUCUGAAGAUAAUCUUAUAUUUCAAAAUUAACCCAUAAUCUCCUCCCAUUUAUUAUAUAUACAAACUAAUUUUUAUUUAAAAAAAAUGAAAAUACAGUAUGAGCUCUGGAGUCAGAGAGAAUGAAAUUCAAAUCUGGUUCCACCACUCAGGAGCCCUUUGAAUCUGGGUAAAUUACAUAACUAGUCUUAGCCUUGGUUUUCUCAUCUCAAAAAUGGGGAUAAUAGAAAAACCAUCUGUUAAGUAUUCAUCCAAUAGGCACUACUGCAGGUGGGGUGAAACUCUGGAAUUUUGGUAUUUUUUUCCCCUUGUGAGAUGAUUCCUUAAGAACCUAGACCAAAGCUCACUUACCUUGUUUAUUGCUCAAUGGAAAAGGAGCCAUCAAUCAGCCAAGCCUUACAAUUCUACAGGUAGGGAUCCCACAGAACAACAUUCAGAGAAUUGUCUGCACGUAAGGAAGAUUGACAGGCCCCAACACAAUCAUUUUCCUUUCAAAGAGGCAGUCACACCACAAAGAAAAGUGGGAUGUUUUUGUAGAUAAAUGAAAAGGUCCUUUUCCCUUUUGCUAGAAUCCCCUCCUCUUUGGGUUCCUCUUGCUAUACUGAUCUGUUUCUCCAUUUUGUUUUCUCCUAUGUUCUCCCUUUCUUUUCGCUUUCCCCUCCAGGUGACAUUUAACAUUUUCUACUCACUUGCUAUUCUGCUAACCUUUUUUUCCUUUCCCAUUCUUCUCUUUAAGUAUGCACUUGCUAAGUGACACCACAAUUCACCAUGACAAACCUCAGAACAUUAGGGGAUCUAGCUAACCCCGAAUCAUUAUUUAAUUUAUAUAAGUCUCUGUAUUAAAAUUAUGACUGGCAGUAGCACCUUUGCGCUGUGAAAAUGAUUGAGGGCCUCGCUCCUCUUUUCACAUUACUUCCAUUACACACUUCAUGUAGCCCUUUCCACGUAAGCUUAACGUUCUAGAGAGAAGUGGUCUUAACUUUCCUCACUGAAACCCUCAGGAAGAAGUUAAGUUCACUUCCAGGUCUUUUUAUGAUAACAGCGAUUUUAAGAGCAAGCAUACUGAGACACUAAAGAAUUGAAUGAUGUUUUGGAGUCUCCCAGAACCCAAGGUUAUACUGAGACUAGAGCUUAUCUCCUAUAACCCUAAAUAUAGCACUAUAGAAACAAACUACAUUUAUUCAUAAAUGUCUAUAGUCCCUUUUCUGCAAAUGUGAUUCUCCUUUCUAAUUAUGGCACUACAAGGAUCUGCUCCUUGACUUUAAAUAACCUUUCCUGAAUUUACCAGGUGACCUAAACUCAGUUACAAUCUCCAUAGGCGAAAGUAUCUGCUAAACAUGAGGUUCUUUGACAUACGUGAUUUCAUUAAAAUAAAAAACCUCUAAGCUAUAAGUUGUCCUCACUUAACAACCAAAGAAACUAAGAUUCAGGGGUGGAGAGGGAAAGCUGAUGGUAAUGUGCCUGGAUUUAGAAGGCUCUCAAAAAUGCUUAUUAAACAUAUGGUCCAAAAUCAACAGCUUUGGAGAGAAACAGAAUUUGAACUCAAGUCCUCCUACCAUUACCUCGAUGUGUACCCUAUACAUUCCUCCUUUUGUGUGCUUGUUCAUAUUGUUUUCUUUUCCAGGAAUGUUUUUCCCACAAUCUUUGUAUAUUGAAAUCCUAUCUAUGCACCAGACUUGGGUCUCACAUGCCUUCCUCUAGGGACAGUCUAAGAUUCCCUUAAUGUUCACUUAUCCUUCUUCACCCAUCUUCAUCUGUGUAGACACAGCAUUUUGCUCAAACCUUUGUUAGAAGAUUUCAAAAGUCAACACAAUUUGAACAAAUAAACUUCCCCUAAGAUAAGAAUUAUUUUAUAUUUGCCUCUCUCCAGGAACAUUGAUGCAUCUAGCUAUUCACUUGUUUUUGAAACAAUUCCUGUUACUUAUUAUAUGCAGGACACUGAUGCAUGUGGGAGUGAGCAAGUUUGGUGGUGUUCCUACUUUCAUGGAGUUUAUACUGGGGAGGGGAGAUAAGGUGGGCAAAAUAAUUACAAAAUAUGAUCACUAUUAUUAGAAAGCUUUAGGGUGAUGAGACAUAGGGUAACUGGGGAAGGCCACUGAGAUUAACAAAACACUUCUCAGGAAUGACAUGUGAUCUAAGGCCUGAGGAAGGAGAAUCAACAGGCUAUGAAAAGACCAUAGGAAAGGCAUUAUAGUGGGGGGGGGGGGGGGACAGUGGGGGGGGCGGGGCUUGGAUAAGCCCCAGACUGGUGAAGGAGGUCAGAGAGAACUAAGAGGGAAGAUGCCAAGACUAGGGAGCAGGGACAGGCCAGGCAGAUAUUUAUCUCCUACACAACAGUGGUGUGGUAUAAAAUGUGUGCUUGGAGUCAGGCACAACUAGGUCCAACUGCCUCAUCCCUUACAAGCUGUGUGUCCUUGGACAAAUCCCUCAGUCUGAUUCUUAAAAGCCUUAUAUGAAGAAAAAACUGGAGAUAAAGAGAACAAUAAAGGUAUUGAAUGGGAACUGUGUUGUAUAAUGCUGAGCUGGAAAUCCACAGAACUAUGAGGCCCCAAACCAGCUAUGGGUUCCAACCUGGGCAACUGCGCUGUUCUCAGUAGGCAUGUGUCACUUGCAGUGCCUUGAAGCUGAUGAAAAGGCAGGAGAACACAAAGCCUGUCUUGCCUAAAGACCAGCUCUAAGACAAAGGCACCUCCAUAUCCCAUGGAGAUGGUGUCAAAUUUUGCAAUUAAGCUGGGGCCUCUCCUCAGAAUGCAGAGUUGGGUUUUGGUGCUGUCACCCUGUACCACGUUGACAAAUGAACACAACACUCUCAAAUGCUGACUCUGUUUUUUGAAUUCUAAAAGUAGAACACAUGCAACAAUAGGUUCCAUUCUUCCCUGAACCCAAUAUACCAUCCUCCUCACACGCAUUAGAGAUGGCAUUCCAGGGCUCUCAGUCAUUUAUUGAAAUGAAGAAAUCAUACCUUGUGCCAAAUUUAAAAAGGAGAAUUUUUCCAGAGAUCAAAAUAGAAAAAUAGAACAGGGGAAUAGGAUGCUAGAGACUGCUCACUUGUGGCUCCGCUGACCAAGGAACAUCAGUGGAACCUUCCUUGGAAUUCAUUUCAAUGUCAGAAGGGCAUCUUGAUGCAAAGGCAAAGUGUAAAGUGCAUUUUGUUAUACUGCUGCAAGACGAAAUUAGUCAUUCUUGUCCCAAAAUAAAAUGAAAAUAUAAGCAGUCAACAUUAAUUACCUGGAGAUGAGAACAGUAAAGAAAGCAUAGCCACUGUUGAAGGUAAACUCAGAAAUUUAGAGGCAAAUUUAAAUGGAAAAACAGAAAUCUAUGAAAUCUAUGAGAAAUUUUGGUCCUACAAAGAGAAUCUAUUAUUUUUAACUAAAUAGCCACAUUCAGAAAAUUAGGUAAUGAUAUUUUUCAUCAUAAUUGAAAAAGUUAAUCCAUUUAUUUAAUAUUCUGCUAACACCAUUUUCACACACAGCAAAAAUUCUCUCUCCAGUAUGUUAGUUAUAAAGCUUAAGUCUACUAAAUUUUACCAACAGAGAAUAAACUUUUUAUCUGUUCUCUGUCUUUUCAUUACAUAUUUUUAUGCCUUUAGGUCUCUGUUUGUUGACUGUGGAGUGUGCGGAAAGAAUUAAUAUUCUCAACGUUUUUUCCCAGAUAAAUACCCUAUAAAUUGUAAGUAAUACUUCUUGUACUCAAUGAAGAUUCAAUAUAUUAGAACGGUCUGGAUUUUUACAUGGUGGUAUUUACCGACAUUAAUAAUUAUAUGGAUUUACAAAUAACCACACACACCCCCUUCAUAGAAUGCCUUAAUUAACUUGUCCAGGAUUUGGAAUCCCGACAGUCUACGAAGUCAGCAGGAUCAUUAAACCCAAUCAUAUUUUCAACCUAACCUGAUAUUUCACUAGAGCCAUUCAAAUCAAUUUACCCAACAGAGACAUUUGUCCCUGGCCUGUCACCACAGCCCGUACCAAGCGUCCUACACUUCUUUAUCUUUUGGCAGGGCCAUCAUAAGCGAGCGACACAGAGGGUGAUGUAUGAGAACUCAAAUAAGUCAUAAAUCCCACAGCCUGUCAUCUCCCGUCAGGCGGACUGAAUUUACGCCCACUGGCCUUGGCAAUGGCUCUUAGCUCAGCUCUGAGAAAGUCAACUUAAAACGACACACUCUGUUAGGAGUGAAUCUCUUCUCAAUGGGACCAGGAAAACACAGAAGAGAAAAGGGAAAGGGGAGAUGUCAGGAUACUUUUCUCUGUAACUUGGGUAGAGGCCACCAACCCCUUUUCCCUUUAGAAUUAGAAUAACUUUAAUAGAACAAUGGUCAUCCCUGCUUCAUGCCUCUUAUAAAAUGACCAGAAAUCACCCAUUCUAUUCUGCCUUCUAACUGGAGUGAGUGGUAUAGAAUUAAGAAGGUAGCCAGUGGUACUCAGGUAUUAUGUGGCUACCAUAUGCUACAAGAACAAAGAUUUGCUCAAGGAACUCGGGAGAACCAGGGAUCUUAAGUGCACCAUGAAUAAUGGAAAUAGGUCCUACAGAUG
RNAcentral lists this long non-coding RNA (5733 nucleotides) under Canis lupus familiaris (dog). Its description in RNAcentral is "lncRNA (ENSCAFG00000051071.1)". The record is from RNAcentral. Lineage: Eukaryota; Metazoa; Chordata; Mammalia; Carnivora; Canidae.